AUGAUACAUGUUUAUGUUUUGGAAGAACAAAAUGAAGAAGAAUGAACAUGAAUCGAGUAUUGGUUUUUGUUUUGUACAAAUGGGAAACCACACGAGUUGAAAAAAUGCUUCAACAAGAGGGUUGGAAUGCGGUGUCAAUAAGUGGUUGCAAAUCACAGCAUGAGCAAACACUAUCAUUAUUCAAGAAUGGAAGCUGUCCUUUGAUGGUAUGCCGGUUUAUAUAUUGUUAUCAUUAUUAAUUAUAAUUAUAUCAAUUCGCUGCCGCGGAAGUCAAAAAAUAUGUAUGAACUGGUUUAUAGUUGCAUCUCAUCAGCUUUUGAUUGUUUUCUCUGCAUUUCUUUGGUCAUGUUGGGUAAUUGUU
This is a long non-coding RNA of Trifolium pratense (red clover), 361 nucleotides long. RefSeq lists it as uncharacterized. Lineage: Eukaryota; Viridiplantae; Streptophyta; Magnoliopsida; Fabales; Fabaceae. The transcript is spliced from 3 exons. The record is from RefSeq and is a predicted model, not a curated record.